UCCUGGGACUAAAUCUAUUUGGUGUUCUAUUCCCCUUAAAGGAGGUAGCCCAGGGGGUAUCUCUUUGGGAAAUAUAUCACCAAAUUCAUGUAAGAGUUCUUGGACCUUUGGGGGUAAGUUCUCAAAUGUAGGGAUUGUGGCAAUGCUAAGGGAUGUUUCCCUUAAUAGGAGAAGGUAGAAAGAUUGUUUAAGAAGGAGUGCUCUUUUAAUAUCACCUUUUGUUGCA
RNAcentral lists this long non-coding RNA (226 nucleotides) under Glycine max (soybean). Its description in RNAcentral is "long non-coding RNA (GMAX_LNC000562)". The record is from RNAcentral. Lineage: Eukaryota; Viridiplantae; Streptophyta; Magnoliopsida; Fabales; Fabaceae.